UGAGUAACGCGUAUGCGACCUGCCCGUUGCAGGGGGAUAAUCGGGAGAAAUCCCGUCUAAUACCGCGUAACGCCGCGGGGCUGCAUGGCCCUGCGGCCAAAGGGAGCGAUUCCGGCAACGGAUGGGCAUGCGUGACAUUAGCUAGUUGGCGGGGCAACGGCCCACCAAGGCGACGAUGCGUAGGGGUUCUGAGAGGAAGGUCCCCCACACUGGUACUGAGACACGGACCAGACUCCUACGGAAGGCAGCAG
RNAcentral lists this ribosomal RNA (251 nucleotides) under uncultured bacterium. RNAcentral describes it as "partial 16S ribosomal RNA". It matches the Rfam family "Bacterial small subunit ribosomal RNA", at positions 107 to 354 of the family's 1533-position model. The record is from RNAcentral.